Molecule: ribosomal RNA, 253 nt
Filed under: uncultured bacterium
Lineage: Bacteria
Description: partial 16S ribosomal RNA
Rfam family: Bacterial small subunit ribosomal RNA
Source: RNAcentral
UACGUAGGGGGCAAGCGUUGUCCGGAAUCAUUGGGCGUAAAGCGCGCGUAGGCGGCCCGGUAAGUCCGCUGUAAAAGUCCAGGGCUCAACCCUGGAAAGCCGGUGGAUACUGUCGGGCUCGAGUCCGGAAGAGGCGAGUGGAACUCCUGGUGUAGCGGUGGAAUGCGCAGAUAUCAGGAAGAACACCAACGGCGAAGGCAGCUCGCUGGGACGGUACUGACGCUGAGACGCGAAAGCGUGGGGAGCGAACAGG